Molecule: ribosomal RNA, 501 nt
Filed under: uncultured bacterium
Lineage: Bacteria
Description: partial 16S ribosomal RNA
Rfam family: Bacterial small subunit ribosomal RNA
Source: RNAcentral
AUUGAACGCUGGCGGCAGGCUUAACACAUGCAAGUCGAGCGGGGGAAGGUAGCUUGCUACCGGACCUAGCGGCGGACGGGUGAGUAAUGCUUAGGAAUCUGCCUAUUAGUGGGGGACAACAUCUCGAAAGGGAUGCUAAUACCGCAUACGUCCUACGGGAGAAAGCAGGGGAUCUUCGGACCUUGCGCUAAUAGAUGAGCCUAAGUCGGAUUAGCUAGUUGGUGGGGUAAAGGCCUACCAAGGCGACGAUCUGUAGCGGGUCUGAGAGGAUGAUCCGCCACACUGGGACUGAGACACGGCCCAGACUCCGACGGGAGGCAGCAGUGGGGAAUAUUGGACAAUGGGGGGAGCCCUGAUCCAGCCAUGCCGCGUGUGUGAAGAAGGCCUUAUGGUUGUAAAGCACUUUAAGCGAGGAGGAGGCUACUUUAGUUAAUACCUAGAGAUAGUGGACGUUACUCGCAGAAUAAGCACCGGCUAACUCUGUGCCAGCCGCCGCAGUAA